This 460-nucleotide ribosomal RNA is filed under the name uncultured bacterium. Its description in RNAcentral is "partial 16S ribosomal RNA". It matches the Rfam family "Bacterial small subunit ribosomal RNA", at positions 338 to 795 of the family's 1533-position model. The record is from RNAcentral.
CCUACGGGAGGCAGCAGUGAGGAAUAUUGGUCAAUGGACGAGAGUCUGAACCAGCCAAGUAGCGUGAAGGAUGACUGCCCUAUGGGUUGUAAACUUCUUUUAUAUAGGAAUAAAAUGUUCCACGUGUGGGUUUUUGUAUGUACCAUAUGAAUAAGGAUCGGCUAACUCCGUGCCAGCAGCCGCGGUAAUACGGAGGAUCCGAGCGUUAUCCGGAUUUAUUGGGUUUAAAGGGAGCGUAGGUGGUUUGUUAAGUCAGUGGUGAAAGUUUGCGGCUCAACCAUAAAAUUGCAGUUGAUACUGGCUGACUUGAGUAUAUUUGAGGUAGGCGGAAUGCGUGGUGUAGCGGUGAAAUGCAUAGAUAUCACGAAGAACUCCGAUUGCGAAGGCAGCUUACUAAACUGCAACUGACACUGAUGCACGAAAGCGUGGGGAUCAAACAGGAUUAGAUACCCGGGUAGUC